GCCUUUGUGGUGUAGUGGUCAGCACGCUCGACGCGUAUUAGAGAGGUCCAUGGUUCGAGUCCCUCCGAAGGCA
Molecule: non-coding RNA, 73 nt
Organism: Stegodyphus mimosarum
Lineage: Eukaryota; Metazoa; Arthropoda; Arachnida; Araneae; Eresidae
Source: Rfam